AUUGAACGCUGGCGGCAGGCCUAACACAUGCAAGUCGAACGAGUGGCGGACGGGUGAGUAAUGUCUGGGCAACUGCCUGAUGGAGGGGGAUAACUACUGGAAACGGUAGCUAAUACCGCAUACCAUCGGAUGUGCCCAGAUGGGAUUAGCUAGUAGGGGGGGUAACGGCUCACCUAGGCGACGAUCCCUAGCUGGUCUGAGAGGAUGACCAGCCACACUGGAACUGAGACACGGUCCAGACUCCUACGGGAGGCAGAAGUGGGGAAUAUUGCACAAUGGGCGAAAGCCUGAUGCAGCCAUGCCGCGUGUAUGAAGAAGGCCUUCGGGUUGUAAAGUACUGUCAGCGGGGAGGCGUUACCCGAAGAGGAAGCACCGGCUAACUCCGUGCCAGCAGCCGCGGUAAUAC
This 406-nucleotide ribosomal RNA is filed under the name uncultured bacterium. RNAcentral describes it as "partial 16S ribosomal RNA". It matches the Rfam family "Bacterial small subunit ribosomal RNA", at positions 30 to 526 of the family's 1533-position model. The record is from RNAcentral.